RNAcentral lists this ribosomal RNA (490 nucleotides) under uncultured bacterium. RNAcentral describes it as "partial 16S ribosomal RNA". It matches the Rfam family "Bacterial small subunit ribosomal RNA", at positions 30 to 507 of the family's 1533-position model. The record is from RNAcentral.
AUUGAACGCUGGCGGCAGGCCUAACACAUGCAAGUCGAACGGUAACAGGAAGAAGCUUGCUUCUUUGCUGACGAGUGGCGGACGGGUGAGUAAUGUCUGGGAAACUGCCUGAUGGAGGGGGAUAACUACUGGAAACGGUAGCUAAUACCGCAUAACGUCGCAAGACCAAAGAGGGGGACCUUCGGGCCCCUUGCCAUCGGAGGUGCCCAGAUGGGAUUAGCUAGUAGGUGGGGUAACGGCUCACCUAGGCGACGAUCCCUAGCUGGUCUGAGAGGAUGACCAGCCACACUGGAACUGAGACACGGUCCAGACUCCUACGGGAGGCAGCAGUGGGGAAUAUUGCACAAUGGGCGCAAGCCUGAUGCAGCCAUGCCGCGUGUAUGAAGAAGGCCUUCGGGUUGUAAAGUACUUUCAGCGGGGAGGAAGGGAGUAAAGUUAAUACCUUUACUCAUUGACGUUACCCGCAGAAGAAGCACCGGCUAACUCCGUG